AUGAACGAUCGAACCAACCGCCAGAGCAGAGAAGCCAAGUCGACCAUAUUUCGGCGGAGGAGUCCCUAUGAUCGAAGCUGCCAGGACGCCCGACCGUACGUCGGCGCCAUGGACGCCGGGAUAGCAACCGCGACGGAUUUGUGGAGAGCUUUUCUUAGGGUGGAUUUGCGCUCCAAUUUGGUUUCCCCUCUUCUUGGAUUCCAAUAUGGUUGGGCGCACUUCGGCGCACACGAGUCGCUCGACGAAAUGCGGCGGCACUCGCACUUGGUCGAGGACGCCGGCCCGCUCCGCCUGGCUUCGCGAUUCUGGAACAACCAGCGUAACCGCCAGUUCCAUACCCCUAUAAAGCCACCGGCGGCUUCGUCGGCCCUGCCGCCUCCUCUCACCUCCACCCUCCAGCCUCCCACCUCCAACCUCCGUGCCCCCUCCAUCCUCCUCCCACCUCCAGCCUCCACCCGCCUCCGCGCCUGCCGCCAUGGAAGCGGCACGCGUAUUCCUCCCCCUUCCACGCCGCCCACCGGUACUCUUGCCUCUUCCUCCCCGCGCCCCGCUCCUUCUUGCGGCCAGGCUCCCGCCGCGUGCCAUGACGGACCAGGAGCACGAGGAGGUGGUCAGGUGGCUGGCGAGGAUCUACGGCUGGCUCAAGAAGGGGAAGAAGCUGGCAAAGGGCAUGAGUCGCUUCACGGCCAGCUCUCCGUCGAGAAUCAGUCGCACCCCGUCCUUCCCCGACCUGCGGGACUUGAUCGAGCGGCUGGCUCGGAGGGCCGACGCCGUCACGCUAGCAGCACUACUCGGGGCGGCGCUGCUGCUCUACAUUAUCAGGAGGUCGGGCGCCGACGCCGACGAGGAGGAGGAGGAGGAGGGGAUCGUCCUCACCGCGCGCCUUCCGCCAUCGGCCCGGCGGCGCCUGGUCCUCAUGACCCUGCCCUUGGUGCCCCGCGGACCCGGAGCACGGCGACCUCCGUGGGCGUGGAGCCUGCGCUUCGUCGGGCACGCUGCCGCAGCAGUACACCCACAGCGUCUCAUCUUCCCAGCGAGACAUGGCCGCACCGAGCAGAUCCGCUUCUUGGCAGGGAGCCAUGGCGUCCCCCAGCAUCGCCCCAUCUUCGCAGGGAGCCUUGGCCGCACCGCACCCAGCAGCGCCGCUUCUUGGCAGGGAGCCUUGGCCGCACCGCACCCAGCAGCGCCUAUGCUCACCUCCUCCUUCCCCCCACCAGCAACGCGGUAGCCUAG
Molecule: ribosomal RNA, 1233 nt
Filed under: Triticum aestivum (bread wheat)
Lineage: Eukaryota; Viridiplantae; Streptophyta; Magnoliopsida; Poales; Poaceae
Description: partial small subunit ribosomal RNA
Source: RNAcentral